Long non-coding RNA from Ostrinia nubilalis (European corn borer), 1666 nucleotides. RefSeq lists it as uncharacterized. NCBI's taxonomy places the organism in Eukaryota, Metazoa, Arthropoda, Insecta, Lepidoptera, Crambidae. The transcript has 2 exons. The record is from RefSeq and is a predicted model, not a curated record.
AAUUAGUAAAGUACUGAUAAGUGACGUCAUAACCUACUGUUUUUCACGCGAAAUCUGUAGAAAUAGAAUAUCAAGUUCUAGUGAAUUUACACUGUAAGACAAUAUUAACUGAUACAACUGUCUGUGAUUGUCUAACAAUAUUUUACGGGGUGAAAAUUCUCUUAGUGAAGCCUGAAACUACGCGUUCUCCAAAAUAUUCGUUCGUUCGUUCAAAUAUUUUUUAUUUAAAAAUUAAAGACACAAAAAAUAUAAUUGCAGGAUUUUGAUAUGUAGUAAGCUUUACAUUUUUAAAGUUUAGCAAUACCACUGCUUCUGUUUGUAUAGAAAGAGGCGGUUCAUUGAAAUGAAAAAAACAAAUCUUGAUGUGACUUUUGACCUUUAAUAAACGGUAACUUAUAAUGUAGAAUGAUACAUGAAUAAUUCGGCUUCGUUAAGAUUUAUUUUACACUCUUUAUAUUCGAAGGCAUAGCAUUGCUUUAGUAGUGCUCGGUAUUACUUUACUAACAGCAUUUGUAGGCAUAGUAUCAUGCUUCGAAAUAGUGUGUAUUUUGUAUAAAAACAGACCAAGGUAGAACAAUUAUAGAAUACUGUAUCUAUAACAUAACCCUUGAUGUCUUUCUGUAGGCUCAUAUACAAUUAGUAUAAUAAAUGUUGCCUUAUAUUUGUAAAAAAUAUUUUCUGCAUAUAUUAUAAAUGCAAUAAUAUGUGUAUUCUUACUUAUUUUCUGUGGGAAAUUUUAGCAUUUUGCAAAAUGCGAAUUGAUACAUAAUGAUUUAUGUAGAAGGAGAUAUAGGUUAAAUAAAACAAACCUACAAUGGUUCUGUUUUCAUAACUGUUGUGUUUAGUUUACAUUCUUGUUGUUAGUUGGUUCGUUAUUUACAUUUUUACUUUGAUCGUAGAUGGAUAUGUAUAAUGUAAACAAUUUUAAGUACACUCAAAUUAUUGUUUACAUUUUGUUAAGUAUCGCGUGGAUACUACGUAUUCUUAAAAACAUUACAUAUUAAAAAAUACUUAUUAUACAUCGGCAUUGCUUUGAAAUCACCUCUUUAAAUUCUAUUUUCUUAAUUCUGCUUUGUAUUUUACUUUCUAAAACAAAUGUCGUGUUUAUAAAAGGUGCUAUCAACAUAUAAGUACAUACAACGUACGUUUAUUUUAUUAUAAUUUUAUACAUAUCUAUUUCAAACAUAGCUAUAUUUUAGGUACAAGUAUAAAACUUCUUUCAUAUCGUCAAUUAAUUUCAAGCAUGCUAUGGUAAAGAUUUAUACCUACUUAUGAAAAGAAUCUCGGUUCCCAGUUGUCAAUUACUAAGUACUUAUUUUACAGUGUGAUCUGUUUAUUGUAUUCCCAUACUACUUCUUCUAUACAUACUAUUGUUAGAAAAACAUGUCUUAUUGUACCCAAGCGUAUCAUUGCGUAUCAUGUAAUAUUUUACGUGUACAUUUUAGUAAUACUAUGUGCUAUUGGUGCCAUACCUAUCAGUACAAAUGUUUUAUUUCAAAGUAUUUUGUUGAGUUAAAUUAUUUAGUUGUAAGUUUUUUUCCCGGUAACUUUGCUGUUUUCUACGUCAUAUGUUAAUAACACACUCAAAUAAUAUUUUUUUAUUAUUGCAGUGAAGUUUGUAAUAAUUUUAUAAUGUUGUACUUAGAAUAAAUGUUUAAUUUGAUAA